UACGUAGGGUCCGAGCGUUGUCCGGAAUUACUGGGCGUAAAGAGCUCGUAGGUGGUUUGUCACGUUGUUCGUGAAAACUCACAGCUCAACUGUGGGCGUGCGGGCGAUACGGGCAGACUGGAGUACUGCAGGGGAGACUGGAAUUCCUGGUGUAGCGGUGGAAUGCGCAGAUAUCAGGAAGAACACCCGUGGCGAAGGCGGCUCUCUGGGACGGUACUGACGCUGAGGCGCGAAAGCGUGGGGAGCGAAUAGG
Molecule: ribosomal RNA, 253 nt
Filed under: uncultured bacterium
Lineage: Bacteria
Description: partial 16S ribosomal RNA
Rfam family: Bacterial small subunit ribosomal RNA
Source: RNAcentral